AAAUUGAAGAGUUUGAUCAUGGCUCAGAUUGAACGCUGGCGGCAGGCCUAACACAUGCAAGUCGAACGGUAACAGGAAGCAGCUUGCUGCUUUGCUGACGAGUGGCGGACGGGUGAGUAAUGUCUGGGAAACUGCCUGAUGGAGGGGGAUAACUACUGGAAACGGUAGCUAAUACCGCAUAACGUCGCAAGACCAAAGAGGGGGACCUUCGGGCCUCUUGCCAUCGGAUGUGCCCAGAUGGGAUUAGCUAGUAGGUGGGGUAACGGCUCACCAAGGCGACGAUCCCUAGCUGGUCUGAGAGGAUGACCAGCCACACUGGAACUGAGACACGGUCCAGACUCCUACGGGAGGCAGCAGUGGGGAAUAUUGCACAAUGGGCGCAAGCCUGAUGCAGCCAUGCCGCGUGUAUGAAGAAGGCCUUCGGGUUGUAAAGUACUUUCAGCGGGGAGGAAGGGAGUAAAGUUAAUACCUUUGCUCAUUGACGUUACCCGCAGAAGAAGCACCGGCUAACUCCGUGCCAGCAGCCGCGGUAAUACGGAGGGUGCAAGCGUUAAUCGGAAUUACUGGGCGUAAAGCGCACGCAGGCGGUUUGUUAAGUCAGAUGUGAAAUCCCCGGGCUCAACCUGGGAACUGCAUCUGAUACUGGCAAGCUUGAGUCUCGUAGAGGGGGGUAGAAUUCCAGGUGUAGCGGUGAAAUGCGUAGAGAUCUGGAGGAAUACCGGUGGCGAAGGCGGCCCCCUGGACGAAGACUGACGCUCAGGUGCGAAAGCGUGGGGAGCAAACAGGAUUAGAUACCCUGGUAGUCCACGCCGUAAACGAUGUCGACUUGGAGGUUGUGCCCUUGAGGCGUGGCUUCCGGAGCUAACGCGUUAAGUCGACCGCCUGGGGAGUACGGCCGCAAGGUUAAAACUCAAAUGAAUUGACGGGGGCCCGCACAAGCGGUGGAGCAUGUGGUUUAAUUCGAUGCAACGCGAAGAACCUUACCUGGUCUUGACAUCCACGGAAGUUUUCAGAGAUGAGAAUGUGCCUUCGGGAACCGUGAGACAGGUGCUGCAUGGCUGUCGUCAGCUCGUGUUGUGAAAUGUUGGGUUAAGUCCCGCAACGAGCGCAACCCUUAUCCUUUGUUGCCAGCGGUCCGGCCGGGAACUCAAAGGAGACUGCCAGUGAUAAACUGGAGGAAGGUGGGGAUGACGUCAAGUCAUCAUGGCCCUUACGACCAGGGCUACACACGUGCUACAAUGGCGCAUACAAAGAGAAGCGACCUCGCGAGAGCAAGCGGACCUCAUAAAGUGCGUCGUAGUCCGGAUUGGAGUCUGCAACUCGACUCCAUGAAGUCGGAAUCGCUAGUAAUCGUGGAUCAGAAUGCCACGGUGAAUACGUUCCCGGGCCUUGUACACACCGCCCGUCACACCAUGGGAGUGGGUUGCAAAAGAAGUAGGUAGCUUAACCUUCGGGAGGGCGCUUACCACUUUGUGAUUCAUGACUGGGGUGAAGUCGUAACAAGGUAACCGUAGGGGAACCUGCGGUUGGAUCACCUCCUUACCUUAAAGAAGC
Molecule: ribosomal RNA, 1554 nt
Filed under: Escherichia coli
Lineage: Bacteria; Pseudomonadati; Pseudomonadota; Gammaproteobacteria; Enterobacterales; Enterobacteriaceae
Description: bacterial SSU rRNA
Rfam family: Bacterial small subunit ribosomal RNA
Source: RNAcentral